GAUGAACGCUGGCGGCGUGCCUAAUACAUGCAAGUCGAGCGAACAGACGAGGAGCUUGCUCCUCUGACGUUAGCGGCGGACGGGUGAGUAACACGUGGAUAACCUACCUAUAAGACUGGGAUAACUUCGGGAAACCGGAGCUAAUACCGGAUAAUAUAUUGAACCGCAGGGUUCAAUAGUGAAAACCGGUUUUGCUGUCACUUAUAGAUGGAUCCGCGCCGCAUUAGCUAGUUGGUAAGGUAACGGCUUACCAAGGCAACGAUGCGUAGCCGACCUGAGAGGGUGAUCGGCCACACUGGAACUGAGACACGGUCCAGACUCCUACGGGAGGCAGCAGUAGGGAAUCUUCCGCAAUGGGCGAAAGCCUGACGGAGCAACGCCGCGUGAGUGAUGAAGGUCUUCGGAUCGUAAAACUCUGUUAUUAGGGAAGAACAAAUGUGUAAGUAACUAUGCACGUCUUGACGGUACCUAAUCAGAAAGCCACGGCUAACUACGUG
RNAcentral lists this ribosomal RNA (497 nucleotides) under uncultured bacterium. RNAcentral describes it as "partial 16S ribosomal RNA". It matches the Rfam family "Bacterial small subunit ribosomal RNA", at positions 28 to 507 of the family's 1533-position model. The record is from RNAcentral.